RNAcentral lists this ribosomal RNA (274 nucleotides) under uncultured bacterium. RNAcentral's name for it is "partial 16S ribosomal RNA". It matches the Rfam family "Bacterial small subunit ribosomal RNA", at positions 523 to 796 of the family's 1533-position model. The record is from RNAcentral.
AUACGGAGGGUGCAAGCGUUACUCGGAAUCACUGGGCGUAAAGCGCGCGCAGGCGGUCUUUUAAGUUGGAUGUGAAAGCCUACGGCUCAACCGUAGAACUGCAUCCAAAACUAUUAGACUAGAGUGUGGGAGAGGAAGAUGGAAUUAGUUGUGUAGGGGUAAAAUCCGUAGAGAUAACUAGGAAUACCAAAAGCGAAGGCAAUCUUCUGGAACACUACUGACGCUGAGGCGCGAAAGCGUGGGGAGCAAACGGGAUUAGAGACCCCAGUAGUCC